This 468-nucleotide ribosomal RNA is filed under the name uncultured bacterium. RNAcentral's name for it is "partial 16S ribosomal RNA". It matches the Rfam family "Bacterial small subunit ribosomal RNA", at positions 28 to 507 of the family's 1533-position model. The record is from RNAcentral.
GACGAACGCUGGCGGCGUGCUUAACACAUGCAAGUCGAACGGAAAGGCCCGGCUUUUGUUGGGUGCUCGAGUUGCGAACGGGUGAGUAGCACGUGAGUCACCUGCCCUUGCCUUUCCGAUAACUUCAGGAAACUGGGGCUAAUACCGCAUAUGAGCUCCUGCUGCAUGGUGGGGGUUGGAAAGUUUCGGAGGUUGGGGAUGGAUUCGCGGCUUAUCAGCCUGUUGGUCGGGUAGUGGCUUACCAAGUCUUCGACGGGUGGCCGGCCUGAAAGGGUGACCGGAGACAUUGGGACUGAGAGACGGCCGAGACGCCGACGGGAGGCAGGGAUGAGGGAUAGUACACAAUGGGCGGGAGGCUGAGGCAGCGACGACGCGUGCGGGAUGACGGACUUCGGGUUGGAAACCGCUUUCGCCUGUGACGAAGCGGGAGUGACGGUAAUGGGUAAAGAAGCACCGGCUAACUACGUG